This 194-nucleotide small nuclear RNA is filed under the name Myotis davidii. RNAcentral describes it as "U2 spliceosomal RNA". The stretch from base 1 to 112 matches the Rfam family "U2 spliceosomal RNA". Rfam says of the family: U2 is a small nuclear RNA (snRNA) component of the spliceosome (involved in pre-mRNA splicing). The record is from Rfam by way of RNAcentral. Lineage: Eukaryota; Metazoa; Chordata; Mammalia; Chiroptera; Vespertilionidae.
AUCGCUUCUCGGCCUUUUGGCUAAGAUCAAGUGUAGUAUCAGAAGUGACAAUUACAAAGAAGCCACAGGAAUGCACAUACUUUCUUUAUCUUAAACUUUGGUAAAACUUCCUGGUAUCUUACUGUAUAAAAUAAUGUGCUGUAUCGGUUCUGGGUCCCUGUCUCUCCAUCAGAGGACAGCUGUCCCAUCUGGUC